GACGAACGCUGGCGGCGUGCCUAAUACAUGCAAGUCGUGCGGACCUUGUUGAAAGCUUGCUUUUAAAAGGUUAGCGGCGGACGGGUGAGUAACACGUGGGCAACCUGCCUGUAAGACUGGGAUAACGCCGGGAAACCGGGGCUAAUACCAGAUCGUUUUUUCCUCCGCAUGGAGGAAAAAGGAAAGGCGGCUUCGGCUGCCACUUACAGAUGGGCCCGCGGCGCAUUAGCUAGUUGGCGGGGUAAUGGCCCACCAAGGCAACGAUGCGUAGCCGACCUGAGAGGGUGAUCGGCCACAUUGGGACUGAGACACGGCCCAAACUCCUACGGGAGGCAGCAGGAGGGAAUCUUCCGCAAUGGACGAAAGUCUGACGGAGCAACGCCGCGUGAGUGAAGAAGGCCGUCGGGUCGUAAAACUCUGUUGCCGGGGAAGAACAAGUGCCGUUCGAACAGGGCGGCGCCUUGACGGUACCCGGCCAGAAAGCCACGGCUAACUACGUG
RNAcentral lists this ribosomal RNA (500 nucleotides) under uncultured bacterium. RNAcentral describes it as "partial 16S ribosomal RNA". It matches the Rfam family "Bacterial small subunit ribosomal RNA", at positions 28 to 507 of the family's 1533-position model. The record is from RNAcentral.